Molecule: ribosomal RNA, 432 nt
Filed under: uncultured bacterium
Lineage: Bacteria
Description: partial 16S ribosomal RNA
Rfam family: Bacterial small subunit ribosomal RNA
Source: RNAcentral
AACGAACGCUGGCGGCAUGCCUAACACAUGCAAGUCGAACGAGCCCUUCGGGUCUAGUGGCGCACGGGUGCGUCACGCGUGGGAACCUGCCCUUAGGUUCGGCAUAACUCUACGACAGGGGUGCUAAUACCGGAUAAUGUCUUCGGACCAAAGAUUUAUUGCCUUGGGGUGGGCCCGCGUUGGAUUAGCUCGUUGGUAGGGUAAAAGCCUACCAAGGCGACGAUCCAUAGCUGGUCUGAGAGGAUGGUCAGCCACACUGGGAGUGAGACACGGCCCAGACUCCUACGGGAGGCAGCAGUGGGGAAGAUUGAACAAUGGGCGAAAGCCUGAGCCAGCAGUGCCGCGUGAGUGAUGAAGGCCUUAGGGUUGUAAAGCUCUUUUACCCGGGAUGAUAAUGACAGAACCGAGAGAAUAAGCACCGGCUAACUCCGU